This is a non-coding RNA of Triticum aestivum (bread wheat), 97 nucleotides long. Lineage: Eukaryota; Viridiplantae; Streptophyta; Magnoliopsida; Poales; Poaceae. The record is from Rfam.
UCAUUCGGAUUCGCCAUCAUACGUCCAACCGUGCAUUUGAUAUGCAUAUAUAUGCAUCACGAGCCACGGUUGGCUGUAUGAUGGCGAUACCGAUUGG